UUUUUUUGUUGGUUGAUGUUUUUUUUUACUUAUGAGCUGAUGAUGAAAAAAAACAAUUAUCUUAGCGGAUUUCAGUGAGGUUUUUGAAUCAAUGAACUGAAUUUGUUACACACACUGAAGCUUAUUUGUUCUUUCAAUGUUUUUUGUUUUGUUUUGUUGGAUUACUGUUAUGGGUUUGAUGAUGAUGAUGCAAUGAUGAGAUAAAAGCACGAAGAGUGUGAGAAGAGCAGUGGGUUUACCGUGAGCUCUCCUUUAAAACGACUUCUCCUUCCACUGAGCAUUUUUUAUCAAAAAUUUUGCCCUAUUGAAGAAAGAGUUUUAGUGUUUUUUGUUUUUGUAUUGGCGUCCAUUACCAAUUCUGAGGGAUAAAAACAGUUCCUUCAGGUAUAAUGGCUUGUGACGCUAUAUUGGUUGUGGUAUAUCCUGAUCUUUUUGCUUUUUUCCAUGCCUUUUGAUCCUGGAAAUGCCUCGCACAUUAUAU
This 481-nucleotide small RNA is filed under the name Arabidopsis thaliana (thale cress). The record is from RNAcentral. Lineage: Eukaryota; Viridiplantae; Streptophyta; Magnoliopsida; Brassicales; Brassicaceae.